Molecule: unclassified non-coding RNA, 222 nt
Filed under: uncultured fungus
Lineage: Eukaryota; Fungi
Description: sequence contains ITS1, 5.8S rRNA gene, ITS2 and 28S rRNA gene
Source: RNAcentral
GGAAGGAUCAUUACUGAAUUGUCAAACGGGUUGUUGCUGGUCCUCAAAUGGGGACAUGUGCACGCUCUGUUUACACAUCCACUCACACCUGUGCACCCUCUGUAGUUCUGCGGUAUGGGGGACCCCGUCUUCCUUCUGUGGUUCUAUGUCUUUACACACACACUGUAAUAAAGUCUUAUGGAAUGUAUGCCGCGUCUAACGCAAUACAAUACAACUUUCAGC